GGGGGUAUAGUAUAGUGGCAAUACACGGCAUUCGCAUUGCCGAGACCUGGGUUCGAUUCCCAGUAUCUCCA
RNAcentral lists this transfer RNA (71 nucleotides) under bacterium. RNAcentral's name for it is "tRNA-Ala". It matches the Rfam family "tRNA". From Rfam's summary of the family: Transfer RNA (tRNA) molecules are approximately 80 nucleotides in length. Their secondary structure includes four short double-helical elements and three loops (D, anti-codon, and T loops). Further hydrogen bonds mediate the characteristic L-shaped molecular structure. tRNAs have two regions of fundamental functional importance: the anti-codon, which is responsible for specific mRNA codon recognition, and the 3' end, to which the tRNAs corresponding amino acid is attached (by aminoacyl-tRNA synthetases). tRNAs cope with the degeneracy of the genetic code in two manners: having more than one tRNA (with a specific anti-codon) for a particular amino acid; and 'wobble' base-pairing, i.e. permitting non-standard base-pairing at the 3rd anti-codon position. The record is from RNAcentral.